CAGAACAAUCAACUAAAUAAAAAAAUGCAGUAUAAUUUCCAAGAAGAAGCGGUUCUUCGGUCACGUUCAGUUCGAAAUUUGAGAUGCUUAGCGCAUCCUGUGAGAGGUGCAACACGAAGAGGCGAGAACGUGCAUACUCUCUUCUCGCUACACUGCCGAUGCAUUAGUCUAAUUGAAAUCCGGAUGGCAUGGCGCGCGUGACCGUACACUGACUCAAGCUGUCACGCUUUCAAAUAGGUAUAGGCGUGUCAUAGAUGUGCGCCAGGGUUGCUCACUUGCUACAUACCGGGUGACGCGUCCACGUCGUCGCCGUUCUUCGUCACGCGAUCGUUAAUGAAAUCGGAACGGUAUCGGCUGGAUCGUCGUAGUGGAUCCUCGAAUCCAAUUCGAGCGAAAUAUUUCCGCGAGGAAAUCUCUCUAACGUUAAAAAUGAAGAUAUUCUAUAUGGUGAAAGCUUUACAAACUAGCAGAUGGCGCUAUUAAGGAAGAAAACGCUGAUACCGAUCGACCCAAAAUCAUCGAGUCCCUUUUAUGGAAAGUCAAACGUCACCGAUUGCGGAAGGCGAGACGACAGGUAAGAAUGAAACAGCACGAAGAAACGUGACGGUGCAUCAGGAAGAUGGUAAAUCAUUAACCUUGCUUACUCGAGCCAACGGGUCGUGGAAUUUGUAUGCGUCAUAGGAUACGCGGGCAUCUUCAGCGACGCUUAAAGAGACGCGAGAAUUAUAAUGCAUUGCCACACGUUCAUCUUGCGGACGCAGUGACAAUGCAUAUGUCUUAGGCUACCGAAGAUAAUGGAUCUACUGCGUCGGACCACACGACUCGACGCAUAGCUGACGACUAAGAUCAAAAACGCUUCGGAAUAAUGAAUUAGAAAAUUCCAUCAAUUCGCGUCAUAAACAAAAAAAUUCCUCCCUAUUUCUGCGUUACGUCAUUACAAUUAUACGGAUUA
Long non-coding RNA from Bombus terrestris (buff-tailed bumblebee), 952 nucleotides. RefSeq lists it as uncharacterized. The transcript is spliced from 2 exons. Lineage: Eukaryota; Metazoa; Arthropoda; Insecta; Hymenoptera; Apidae. The record is from RefSeq and is a predicted model, not a curated record.